Molecule: ribosomal RNA, 791 nt
Filed under: Physocyclus bicornis
Lineage: Eukaryota; Metazoa; Arthropoda; Arachnida; Araneae; Pholcidae
Description: partial large subunit ribosomal RNA
Rfam family: Eukaryotic large subunit ribosomal RNA (bases 527-791)
Source: RNAcentral
GAAGAGAGAGUUCAAGAGUACGUGAAACUGCUCAGAGGCAAACGGGUGGGCCCUCGAAAUCCCGCCGCGGAGGGAUUCAGUCCCGACGCCGUCGGUUCCUCCCCGGCUAACAACGGACCCGUAGCGAGGCCGGUCGGUGGAGGAGGGCCGCGGCGGCGACCGACGCACUUCCCUCCGCGCAGAGGACGCCGCAACCGGUCGGGUAGCAGCGAGAGUCGGCCAUGAGGGUCCGCGCCGGCAGGUGGCCGGGGAGUCUGCUACGGCAGCGUCCUCCCCGGUCGUUAGCCAGCGGACGCCGCGGCGCGACACCCGACCGAGGCCAAAGUUCCCUCGUCUCUGGGAACCCGCCGCACCCUGCCCUUUUCCGGGCAGCGGGGCCCACGGCACGCGCGUCGCCGCACCGCCGCGUCACUCCGAGAGUGGUCCGCGUGCGGCGGACGCGGCUGGCCGCGGAGCGCCCGCGAGGGGUCGCAGACGGUUGGCGGCGAGCAGGUCGGUCACCCACCCGACCCGUCUUGAAACACGGACCAAGGAGUCUAACAUGUGCGCGAGUCGCCGGGUCUUGUCCAGGCCCGCGGGCGCAAUGAAAGUGACAGUCGAGACUCCGACCCAGAGAGUCGGAAGCACCGACGGCCCGUCCGAUCCGCCACGCGUGGACGGGCGGAGUCGGAGCGCACACGUUGGGACCCGAAAGAUGGUGAACUAUGCCCGGGCAGAACGAAGCCAGAGGAAACUCUGGUGGAGGUUCGCAGCGGUUCUGACGUGCAAAUCGAUCGUCAGACCCGGGUAUA